Molecule: ribosomal RNA, 301 nt
Filed under: uncultured bacterium
Lineage: Bacteria
Description: partial 16S ribosomal RNA
Rfam family: Bacterial small subunit ribosomal RNA
Source: RNAcentral
CAGUCGCCGCGGUAAUACGAAGGGUGCAAGCGUUAAUCGGAAUUACUGGGCGUAAAGCGUGCGUAGGCGGUUUGUUAAGUCUGUUGUGAAAUCCCCGGGCUCAACCUGGGAAUGGCAAUGGAUACUGGCAAGCUAGAGUGUGUCAGAGGAUGGUGGAAUUCCCGGUGUAGCGGUGAAAUGCGUAGAGAUCGGGAGGAACAUCAGUGGCGAAGGCGGCCAUCUGGGACAACACUGACGCUGAGGCACGAAAGCGUGGGGAGCAAACGGGAUUAGAUACCCGUGUAGUCCCUGUCUCUUAUAC